Molecule: ribosomal RNA, 392 nt
Filed under: uncultured bacterium
Lineage: Bacteria
Description: partial 16S ribosomal RNA
Rfam family: Bacterial small subunit ribosomal RNA
Source: RNAcentral
AUACGGAGGAUGCGAGCGUUAUCCGGAUUUAUUGGGUUUAAAGGGAGCGUAGGCGGGAGCUUAAGUCAGCGGUUAAAUGGUGCGGCUCAACCGUGCCCUGCCGUUGAAACUGGGUUUCUUGAGAGUGCAAGAGGCGGAUGGAAUUCAUGGUGUAGCGGUGAAAUGCUUAGAUAUCAUGAAGAACUCCGAUUGCGAAGGCAGUCCGCUGGGGCACGUCUGACGCUGAUGCUCGAAGGUGCGGGAAUCAAACAGGAUUAGAUACCCUGGUAGUCCGCACGGUAAACGAUGAUUACCCGCUGUCGGCGGCAGACAGUCGGCGGCCAAGCGAAAGCGAUAAGUAAUCCACCUGGGGAGUACGCCGGCAACGGUGAGACUCAAAUGAAUUGGCGGGG